UACGGCCACAUCACGUUGAAACACCGGUUCUUGUACGAUCACCGAAGUUAAGCAAUUUUGAGCCUGAACAAUACCUAGAUGAUUGACCGCUUGGAAAUACCAGCUGCUGUAA
Molecule: non-coding RNA, 112 nt
Organism: Acanthosepion pharaonis
Lineage: Eukaryota; Metazoa; Mollusca; Cephalopoda; Sepiida; Sepiidae
Source: the annotation of a GenBank genome assembly